Molecule: ribosomal RNA, 88 nt
Filed under: Cynoglossus semilaevis (tongue sole)
Lineage: Eukaryota; Metazoa; Chordata; Actinopteri; Pleuronectiformes; Cynoglossidae
Source: RNAcentral
GCCUACGACCAUACCAACCUGGACACGCGAUCUCGUCUGAUCUCAAAAGCUAAGAUCGCCUGUGUUGGGUUAAAAGCAGUUGUUAUUC